GAUAUCUAGGCUCUUGCAUCGAUGAAGAACGUAGCGAAAUGCGAUACUUGGUGUGAAUUGCAGAAUCCCGUGAACCAUCGAGUCUUUGAACGCAAGUUGCGCCCGAAGCCAUCAGGUUGAGGGCACGUCUGCCUGGGCGUCACAU
Molecule: ribosomal RNA, 145 nt
Filed under: Astragalus chlorostachys
Lineage: Eukaryota; Viridiplantae; Streptophyta; Magnoliopsida; Fabales; Fabaceae
Description: 5.8 ribosomal RNA
Rfam family: 5.8S ribosomal RNA
About the family: 5.8S ribosomal RNA (5.8S rRNA) is a component of the large subunit of the eukaryotic ribosome.
Source: RNAcentral